CACAUUCGGGGCGGCUUCGGCGCUCCUUAUACACCCACCCUCUGCCUACGUGUAACCUCUAUAGCUUCCUCGGGCGGGCUCGCCCCGCCGCCAGGAAACCCACGAAAACCCCUUGCAUUAUACGCGAAAAAACUUUCUGAUAACAAAACCUAAAUUAUCAC
This 161-nucleotide unclassified non-coding RNA is filed under the name soil metagenome. RNAcentral's name for it is "partial internal transcribed spacer 1". The record is from RNAcentral.